Molecule: ribosomal RNA, 492 nt
Filed under: uncultured bacterium
Lineage: Bacteria
Description: partial 16S ribosomal RNA
Rfam family: Bacterial small subunit ribosomal RNA
Source: RNAcentral
AGUGAACGCUGGCGGUAGGCCUAACACAUGCAAGUCGAACGGCAGCACAGUAAGAGCUUGCUCUUACGGGUGGCGAGUGGCGGACGGGUGAGGAAUACAUCGGAAUCUACUUUUUCGUGGGGGAUAACGUAGGGAAACUUACGCUAAUACCGCAUACGACCUACGGGUGAAAGCAGGGGAUCUUCGGACCUUGCGCGAUUGGAUGAGCCGAUGUCGGAUUAGCUAGUUGGCGGGGUAAAGGCCCACCAAGGCGACGAUCCGUAGCUGGUCUGAGAGGAUGAUCAGCCACACUGGAACUGAGACGCGGUCCAGACUCCUACGGGAGGCAGCAGUGGGGAAUAUUGGACAAUGGGCGCAAGCCUGAUCCAGCUAUACCGCGUGGGUGAAGAAGGCCUUCGGGUUGUAAAGCCCUUUUGUUGGGAAAGAAAAGCAGCAGGUUAAUACCCCGCUGUUCUGACGGUACCCAAAGAAUAAGCACCGGCUAACUUCGUG